GGCAACAUUGUGUAUGUGGCAGCAGAGCAGCCUGAGCGGUGCUAGGCAGCUUGCUGCAAUAGGCAUGCGGUUGCCCCUGGCAACCUCUCUUUAUAGGUGUGCGUUUUAUUGGUGUGCACGGAGUGUUGUGUAUCAGUGGGCA
This is a long non-coding RNA of Bufo bufo (common toad), 142 nucleotides long. RefSeq lists it as uncharacterized. The transcript is spliced from 3 exons. The record is from RefSeq and is a predicted model, not a curated record. NCBI's taxonomy places the organism in Eukaryota, Metazoa, Chordata, Amphibia, Anura, Bufonidae.